Thalassophryne amazonica is the source of this 390-nucleotide long non-coding RNA. RefSeq lists it as uncharacterized. Lineage: Eukaryota; Metazoa; Chordata; Actinopteri; Batrachoidiformes; Batrachoididae. The record is from RefSeq and is a predicted model, not a curated record. The transcript has 2 exons.
AAAAAAAAAAAAAAAAAAUGCGGUAUGCAAAAGUAUUCAGCCCCCCUGAGUCAAUACUUUGUAGAACCACCUUUUGCUGCAAUUACAGCUGCAAGUCUUUUAGGGUUUUCUUCCAAGACUGCCCUGUAUUUGGCUUCAUCCAUCUUCCCAUCAACUCUGACCAUCUUUCUUGUCCCUGCUGAAAAGAAGCCUUCCCAGGGCAUGACGCUGCCACCACCAUAUUUGACAGUGGUAUGGUGUGGGUAGUGGGAUGGUGUCUUCAGAGUGAUGUGCGGUGUUAGUUUUCUGCCACACAUAGCGUUUUGCAUUUUGGCCAAAAUGUUGAAUUUUGGUCUCAUCUGACCAAAGCACCUUCUUCCACAUGUUUGCUGUGUCCCCAACAUGGCUUCU